RNAcentral lists this ribosomal RNA (265 nucleotides) under uncultured prokaryote. RNAcentral describes it as "partial 16S ribosomal RNA". It matches the Rfam family "Bacterial small subunit ribosomal RNA", at positions 524 to 788 of the family's 1533-position model. The record is from RNAcentral.
UACGUAGGUGGCGAGCGUUGUCCGGAUUUACUGGGCGUAAAGGGAGCGUAGGCGGACUUUUAAGUGAGAUGUGAAAUACCCGGGCUCAACUUGGGUGCUGCAUUUCAAACUGGAAGUCUAGAGUGCAGGAGAGGAGAAUGGAAUUCCUAGUGUAGCGGUGAAAUGCGUAGAGAUUAGGAAGAACACCAGUGGCGAAGGCGAUUCUCUGGACUGUAACUGACACUGAGGCACGAAAGCGUGGGGAGCAAACAGGAUUAGAUACCCU